UUUAAUAUUGUAACAUUAGGUUUCUUAAUAGAAUUAAUAGGGAAAGUGGUGAAAGUCCACUACAGCCCACGCUACUGUAAAUAGGAAAAAGUCUUAAUAGCCACUGAAAAUAUUUCGGGAAGGUAAGAUGAAAUGAAUCUAUAAGUCAGGAGACCUGCCUAAUGGGUGACAUAGUU
This 176-nucleotide non-coding RNA is filed under the name Clostridium argentinense. Lineage: Bacteria; Bacillati; Bacillota; Clostridia; Eubacteriales; Clostridiaceae. The record is from RNAcentral. RNAcentral also lists the same sequence under 1 other name.